This 329-nucleotide ribosomal RNA is filed under the name uncultured Rhodospirillales bacterium. Its description in RNAcentral is "bacterial SSU rRNA". It matches the Rfam family "Bacterial small subunit ribosomal RNA", at positions 1051 to 1382 of the family's 1533-position model. The record is from RNAcentral. Lineage: Bacteria; Pseudomonadati; Pseudomonadota; Alphaproteobacteria; Rhodospirillales.
GUCGUCAGCUCGUGUCGUGAGAUGUUUGGUUAAGUCCAGCAACGAGCGCAACCCUUAUUGUCUGUUGCCAUCAUUUAGUUGGGCACUCUGACAAGACUGCCGGUGAUAAGCCGGAGGAAGGCGGGGACGACGUCAAGUCAUCAUGGCCCUUACGUGUGGGGCUACAAACGUGCUACAAUGGUAGUGACAGUGAGCAGCCAGGCCGCGAGGUCGAGCUAAUCUCAAAAAGCUAUCUCAGUUCAGAUUGCACUCUGCAACUCGAGUGCAUGAAGUCGGAAUCGCUAGUAAUCGCGCAUCAGCGUGUCGCGGUGAAUACGUUCCCGGGUCUU